Molecule: ribosomal RNA, 274 nt
Filed under: uncultured bacterium
Lineage: Bacteria
Description: partial 16S ribosomal RNA
Rfam family: Archaeal small subunit ribosomal RNA
Source: RNAcentral
AAACCAGCACCUCAAGUGGUCAGGAUGAUUAUUGGGCCUAAAGCAUCCGUAGCCGGCUCUGUAAGUUUUCGGUUAAAUCUGUACGCUCAACGUACAGGCUGCUGGGAAUACUGCAGAGCUAGGGAGUGGGAGAGGUAGACGGUACUCGGGAGGAAGUGGUAAAAUGCUUUGAUCUCUCGAUGACCACCUGUGGCGAAGGCGGUCUACCAGAACACGUCCGACGGUGAGGGAUGAAAGCUGGGGGAGCAAACCGGAUUAGAAACCCCGGUAGUCC